AUCCAGCUGACGGGUCCCAAAUAGGACGAAAGGCGCGGCCUAAAU
Molecule: non-coding RNA, 45 nt
Filed under: Schistosoma curassoni
Lineage: Eukaryota; Metazoa; Platyhelminthes; Trematoda; Strigeidida; Schistosomatidae
Source: RNAcentral